Pomacea canaliculata is the source of this 4332-nucleotide long non-coding RNA. RefSeq lists it as uncharacterized. The record is from RefSeq and is a predicted model, not a curated record. Lineage: Eukaryota; Metazoa; Mollusca; Gastropoda; Architaenioglossa; Ampullariidae. The transcript has 2 exons.
AGCAAGAAUAUCGCAGUGACAAUCUAACGAAGGCGAGGAAAGCCUUCACGAACAUUGCAAAAGGAACUGACGAUCUUGAUCGCAUGAUCUGCGUCCGCUCCUUUUGGGAUCGGUGUGGACAGAGAUGAAUAGACGAACACGCAAAGUAGACAUUUUUAUUGCUCUUUAUACCUGUGCUUACAGGUAUUUCGAUGAACUGAGAAAGUUGGUAUUAUUUCUCCGGGCGUGAGAGACAAAAGAAAAAGAGCAAGGAAAAAAAAAACCAGAAAAGUGCAGCAAGGCAGUGAUUUUAGAAAUUGGAAUGUAAAGAUAGGACACAUACACAUACGCGUUUAUAACAUUGAUUAAAUUAGGACUCGAGGCGACAAAGAAAGAGGGAGGGCAGUAAGGGUGAGUGUGUUUCAUGAUGUAUUGUAGUUGGCCUCCAGCUGUUCAAGAUGAAGGCUUUCCAGUACGUGCUGCGGGCCACACAGGUCCACUUGGGGUCGUGCUAGCAACCCGAUGGAUCGAGUGGUUGUCGCCUAGGUGAUUAAUUCCUUGCUUUCCGCCCUCCCACUGAUAGCUUUUCUUUCGUGCAUUUCCUUUUUGUCUUUUAUUUUCGUUCUUUAUGGCUUAAUUUUUUUUCGCCCGUGGUUUGUGUUUUUCUUUAUGCAUAAACUAGCCUCACUAGGUGCUGUCGACAUGUUGGGCUUUUUAUGGGGGAGUGUUCUGAGGGUGUCUGUCAGCAUGCGCUGAAAAAUAAUAAAAAAUUGUUUUUAAAAUGAGAAGACAAAAAAAAAAAAAAUCAGAACAGCUUCCCUGUUUUCACCUUUCUGUUCUUGUGGCUGCCGGGAAAAAGCAGUUUGUUCUGUCUUAAGCUUACGACAGGCUUGUCUCAUUUAUCUCUGUCUCCUUCCUCCAACCUUGUGCCUGUUCUUUCUUAUCCUUUUUCAAACCAUUUUCCCCAGCGCGAUUUUGCGCCCAGUUCGUGCCAUUUCUUUCUUCCUCCAGUACAGCUUUGCUUUUAUAACCACUUCCCAUCCCAUCUUUCACUGGGGUCUUUUUUUUUUUCUUGUCCUUUUUGUGUUUUCCGUUGUGUGCGGAUCUUAUCAUCUCUGCAAAUGUUAUGUUACUUUUCACUUCGUUCUAAUGCAUUUCCGAUCCGUUCUUUCCUGUGUAUCGCCAGUCGCUUUCAGAACUUUCAUUUUUUGAAAGCCUUCUGUUACUAAGUAAGGGUUGUUUGUCAAGUACCCUGUUACCCAGUGAUCUCAUCGAGCAUGUGGUAUCUAUAGGGCGAGGCGGAAGACAGAUUGCAGUAGGACAGUAAUAACUUGUGACGCCAGAAGGCUGUCUGACGGGACCUAAACUGCUUACAUAAUGAAUGAGACGGGUGACACAUUGCAUGCGACUUUAAACUGCGUUUGAGAAGUUACCUGGAACAUCAUAAAACAGCUGCACUAGAUGAAAGUCAUUCCUCCGAAUAAAGAUUUGUUUUUAAACUUGCGUACAUUGACAUAAGACAUAAGAGGAUUGAAACAUUGCAUGUAGAUGUAAACAUUCAAGCACGAACUUGUAUUACUGGACUGCUGGCAAACGCCAGUUAACUACUAAAACGAGGCAGGAGUGUACACAGCUUCCGGUUUAGUUCACAUUCUUUGUUUAGGCUCGCCGAGACUAACAGCGGAUCACUUCGCAAGAGGCUAAGCGUUGGUCUCGGCAGACAGCAAUCCACCUAUACUCAUCCAUGAUUUAAGGGUGUGGCAUUUGAUGUAGCGAUUGUGUGGACUGGAACACCUGUUGGCAGAUUCCAUAUCUAAGACUCUUUACAGUUUACACGACCUUGACUCCGCUCCGAGUUCUAAUCUGAUAUAUUGCAGCUGCAGCAGAAAGCUGUUUACACGUUUACAGAGCAUUCCUUACCACAACAUAGCAAUGCUCCCUUCUAGUGAUUUUUUUCCCUGAUUGAAAAUGUUUUGUCCAAGGAAAAGGUUUCUGACAUGUUAGCAUCGCUCAGACAACACCCCGUGACCUACAUUUUAAAGAUGGCGAAAUGUGUGUCUGCACCUCUUCAGUUUUUUUCCCAUCUACACCCACAUACCUUUCCUGGGUCCUCGAAAAAAUCGUCUCGUUUAAUUCUCAGAACAUGUUUGCUAUACGAGCUUUCAAUAAGUAAUUCCACCAGAAAGUAUUUCCAUACUAACUCCACUGCAAGUGGUCACGGUACUUCCAUUUGUUACGAGGUUUGUUUGUGUCUUUGGCUGACAAAUGUUUUUAUUUUUAUUUUUCUGCUGACGUCGCGGCCUUCGUCAGAGCCAACGCACCAAUCAGAUUGCAGCUGAGGCCCAACAGGUGUUGGAGUCGCUCCAACGAGGUGCAUUUCGACCUUCCCACAUACGUGCCCCAAAAAGAUUUUUUUUUUCUGUUGUGGGGACUCUUUUACAUCGCCCAGAGGCGGCAGGAAACUGUCGACCUCAACGCCACACGCUAUGUUGUCCGGCAACAAACAAAUCCCUGCCCACUAGCAUAGCUUUCAGCUUUUUCUCGUUGGUCUUGGCAUCAUUUACCCGGAAAAGAGCAUGUAAGGUUUGGGAUUUUUUUCCCCUCGUCUUCCUAAGGUGUUCCUGCAAGAUGUGCGAGGUUUCGCAUCCCUACACGCCCUGAAAGAGUUUCAAGGUUGCUGUGUUGACAAUACAUGCACUGCAUUGCAAGCUGAGCCCGGCCCUUCCUUCUAUAGUUCUUCGCCGAGCAAGUGUGCAUAUCACCGUAGUUAUUGCACAUCAUAAACUUGCCAAGGAUUUUGUUAUUUAUUGACGCCAACCCGUCGUGGUAAUAAUAACUCUAUAUCCUUGUCUUUCACCUCAUCUGCACAUUGCAGCUGCCGCCAAAAAUAAUCAUUAUUUGGAAAAUGCUGAUGAAUUUCACCCACGAGCUCAUGACACUGAGUAUUAAAAGCAGUUCUUUGAAAAUUAUACUAAUUUUUUAAUCUGAAAGGGGGUGUGAUCGUAUGUGUGUGCUCGCGGUGAAUAUAUAUUGAAUCAGAUUAAUUAUGGCCGUAUUAUUUUCAACAGCUGCUGCAGCAUCCUGUGGUUCAAGGGCAUGCUGCAUCGGGGAUCGCGCAUGCCUGAUGACAGGCGACUGUUGUAUCCCAACCAUUUACACCUACGAGUUAGUCCAGUCAGAUCCUCCCCUAGUUCGUGACGAGGUGCCCUCGCGGUGGCAGGCACAGGGAGCAGCCACCACCACAAGACCUGCUGGGCAUGUCGCCAUGGCCGGAAGUCAAAGGUCAGCAAGAAAAGUCGUUUUUUUUUUGUCCACGCACCUAAUCGCCUGAUGCCAGUUGUGUCAAUCUAAUUGACCAGACAACGAGUGUGAGGUGGCUGCAGCACAAAAACCGGUUUUUCUACCAAAAAACAUCAAAGAAUGUUUAACGAGUUGUCUUUCCCUCGCUUCUCUUUGACCUUUCUUUCUUCAUUCUGCUCCCUCCUCUCCUUUCACCAAGUUUUUAUUCUUAGCUUCUAGUGUUUUUCGAGGGAUUAUUCCCCUGGUGAAGUGAAAACUUUUUUUUUUUUGAGAAAAAAAUCUGACAAAGCAGGAAACUGCAACAGGACCAAUAUGAGAAGGACGCAGAAAGACCAUUUAUAUCAUAUCAGUUCAUGUCCCACUCACCGAUAAUUACAUUUGGUUGUAUUUACGUGAUUCACACCUGCUGUAGGUAAGUGAUAAGCAUUUACAGAUGUUUUGUGUUGCAACUGCGCUCACAGCUGUUGGCCCUGGAACGCAGUACCAUCUACAGAAGGCUAAACAACUGCCAUGGUUACUAAGGAGAAACAUGACCAAAUAUGGAGUCGACCUGAUAAAACUCAGGCGUCUUGAAACAGUAACAUUUGGCAGAUUUCCACGACAUGCUGCACCACAGCUCUUCCCCUCUGACAAUCUUACUGUCCUCAGCCAGCAAUAAUAAAAAAAAAACAACAACUCUGCAUGUGCAUGCUAAGUGUCUUGUCGUUGAGUUAGCAAGUACCCGACCAAGGCUUAUCAACAAUACACAGUAAUCAGCUUAUUUACUGUCUACCAUCUGGUUCAGUGUUUUCCUGUUCGCCAUCGCCUGAUCCGGGCUUAUUUUUAGGGCAGAACGCUCGUCGGGGAAAAACUCGAACUGAGUCGACAGUGUCUGUCGAGUGAUCAUUCGAGGAAAGGAAACCAUCUCUUGGCAAAAAUAUUUAUGGCCCUUAAAGCGGAUCUGUUUCGACGAAUCAUGCGACUGUUUUGUACAUGGCAGGACCAGCGAGGUCACUAAAGCUGGAGAAGAUUAUCGGGAUUCGUGCUUGUGAGAAUAAACAUUUCUUCUGCAGA